GACGAACGCUGGCGGCGUGCUUAACACAUGCAAGUCGAACGGAAAGGCCCUGCUUUUGUGGGGUGCUCGAGUGGCGAACGGGUGAGUAACACGUGAGUAACCUGCCCUUGACUUUGGGAUAACUUCAGGAAACUGGGGCUAAUACCGGAUAGGAGCUCCUGCUGCAUGGUGGGGGUUGGAAAGUUUCGGCGGAUGGGGAUGGACUCGCGGCUUAUCAGCUUGUUGGUGGGGUAGUGGCUUACCAAGGCUUUGACGGGUAGCCGGCCUGAGAGGGUGACCGGCCACAUUGGGACUGAGAUACGGCCCAGACGCCUACGGGAGGCAGCAGUGGGGAAUAUUGCACAAUGGGCGGAAGCCUGAUGCAGCAACGCCGCGUGCGGGAUGACGGCCUUCGGGUUGUAAACCGCUUUCGCCUGUGACGAAGCGUGAGUGACGGUAAUGGGUAAAGAAGCACCGGCUAACUACGUG
Molecule: ribosomal RNA, 468 nt
Filed under: uncultured bacterium
Lineage: Bacteria
Description: partial 16S ribosomal RNA
Rfam family: Bacterial small subunit ribosomal RNA
Source: RNAcentral